Biomphalaria glabrata is the source of this 724-nucleotide long non-coding RNA. RefSeq lists it as uncharacterized. The transcript has 3 exons. The record is from RefSeq and is a predicted model, not a curated record. Lineage: Eukaryota; Metazoa; Mollusca; Gastropoda; Planorbidae.
CAAAUUGUACCUGACAAAUAAUAUCAAUCGAACCACUUUGUCAAGUAUAUUUCCCCGAGAAAAACUGGACACAAUGACAUAGAAAUCGAUGGUCAAUGAACAGAUGUGUUAGACCGUGACCGUCGUGACUAUAUCGAAGGUGUCGUAGACUAAGGCUGACUUCAGUAUCCUCAAUGAACUGCUUGUAACGAUGUAAACAAAAUGUAGAAAAAUGGGGAAUUCCCAUUUGUUUAAAAAUACAAUAAAAGGAAGAUUUAAAAGCAACUAUACGUUGCAAUGGCGUUUUUAACUUAAGUGUUGAAUUGGUGAAAUGAAUGUUACGCCCGUAAAGAAAUCUAUUCUGUAUGUAACUCCAGUGGCGGACUGAAAGGGUUAAUGUGUGUGCGGCCUUCUGAUACACACGACUCAGGCCAAUCACACAGGUCAACGGCUGUUGAACAAGGGACAUUACUGCUAGUGCACGCAACUAUGGCCCUUGCUGUGGUCAUGUGGUCAAGCCUAUACGGUCGAGAGACAAUGUGUAAGAAAACAGUUGAGUCCAGGACAGCAAGGCAGUAAGGACUGUGUGGUACCUUUGAGUCCUCGAGAAUGUAGCUGUACGAGCAAGAGAGACUUCUAAUGUUUAGUUAGGCAGAUCUGUUAAGUACAAGAAAGCAGUUGAAGUUAGUGUAACCAAUUGUGUUGAAUUGGCUGUCGAUGUAAUUGUAAUUAAAACGCCAGUUUG